Molecule: long non-coding RNA, 345 nt
Filed under: Mytilus galloprovincialis (Mediterranean mussel)
Lineage: Eukaryota; Metazoa; Mollusca; Bivalvia; Mytilida; Mytilidae
Source: RNAcentral
UAAAGGAAACUAGAGGCUCUAAAGAGCCUGUGUCGCUCACCUUGGUCUAUGUGAAUAUUAAACAAUGGACACAGAUGGAUUCAUGACAAAAUUGUGUUUUGGUGAUAGUGAUGUGUUUGUAGAUCUUACUUUACUGAACAUUCUUGCUGCUUACAAUUAUCUCUUUCUAUAAUAAACUUGGCCAAGUACUUACAGUGGAAAAAGUUAGUAAAAAAUUACAAAUUUUAUGAAAAUUUGUUAAAAAAUGACUAUAAAGGGCAAUAACUCCUUAGGGGGCCAAUUGACUAUUUUGGUCAUGUUGACUUAUUUUUAGGUCUUACUUUGCUGUAUAUUAUUGCAGUUUAC